RNAcentral lists this ribosomal RNA (275 nucleotides) under uncultured bacterium. RNAcentral's name for it is "partial 16S ribosomal RNA". It matches the Rfam family "Bacterial small subunit ribosomal RNA", at positions 523 to 796 of the family's 1533-position model. The record is from RNAcentral.
AGACGGAGGGCGCAAGCGUUGUUCGGAAUUACUGGGCGUAAAGCGCGGGCAGGUGGUCUGUUAAGUCGUUUGUGAAAAUCCGGGGCUCAACCCCGCGAAAUGCAGACGAUACUGGCAGGCUGGAGAUCGGUAGGGGCUAGCGGAAUUCCUGGUGUAGCGGUGGAAUGCGUAGAUAUCAGGAAGAACACCUGUGGCGAAGGCGGCUAGCUGGGCCGAGUCUGACACUCAUCCGCGAAAGCGUGGGGAGCAAACAGGAUUAGAAACCCCAGUAGUCC